RNAcentral lists this long non-coding RNA (382 nucleotides) under Pan troglodytes (chimpanzee). RNAcentral's name for it is "lncRNA (ENSPTRG00000053900.1)". The record is from RNAcentral. Lineage: Eukaryota; Metazoa; Chordata; Mammalia; Primates; Hominidae.
AAACAGCUUCUCAGUGAAAAUUGUCAUGACAACCUGGAGAGAGGAAACGUUCUACUGCAAGCCGAGCGUGGGGACCGAGGGUCGGCGUCACAGUGAGAGAGCCAUGAUGGAGGACGGGGUCACCCUGCUUGCCCAACGCGGGGAGCUCCGUCAUACAGAAUCCCAGCAAGCUUGCGUGACUAACGGAGGAGCGUCUCCCCUUAGAUUCUUCCCGCCCGGAGCCGGGGACAGCAGAAGAGCCACGAUCCCAGGAAGCCGGCUUGUGCAGAGGAAAGAACCGCACCUCGUUGUCAGAACAACCCCAGCUCUGCCACCUACACCUUGUGUGACCUUGGGCAAGUCAGAGAAACUUCUCAGGUGCACAAUCUCCUCACGCUCCUAG